GACGAACGCUGGCGGCGUGCUUAACACGUGCCAGUCGAACGGAAAGGCCCUGCUUGCAGGGUACUCGAGUGGCGAACGGGUGAGUAACACGUGGGUGAUCUGCCCUGCACUUCGGGAUAAGCCUGGGAAACUGGGUCUAAUACCGGAUAGGAGCCAUUUUUAGUGUGAUGGUUGGAAAGUUUUUUCGGUGUAGGAUGAGCUCGCGGCCUAUCAGCUUGUUGGUGGGGUAAUGGCCUACCAAGGCGGCGACGGGUAGCCGGCCUGAGAGGGUGGACGGCCACAUUGGGACUGAGAUACGGCCCAGACUCCUACGGGAGGCAGCAGUGGGGAAUAUUGCACAAUGGGCGCAAGCCUGAUGCAGCGACGCCGCGUGGGGGAUGACGGCCUUCGGGUUGUAAACUCCUUUCGCUAGGGACGAAGCUUUUUGUGACGGUACCUAGAUAAGAAGCACCGGCUAACUACGUG
This 465-nucleotide ribosomal RNA is filed under the name uncultured bacterium. RNAcentral's name for it is "partial 16S ribosomal RNA". It matches the Rfam family "Bacterial small subunit ribosomal RNA", at positions 28 to 507 of the family's 1533-position model. The record is from RNAcentral.